AGGACUGUCCAACCUGAGAAUGCUUGAGUUUUGGUCAAUCUCAGGUUCGUCAGCCCAUGA
MicroRNA precursor from Carassius auratus (goldfish), 60 nucleotides. NCBI's taxonomy places the organism in Eukaryota, Metazoa, Chordata, Actinopteri, Cypriniformes, Cyprinidae. The record is from Ensembl.